ACGAUUUCUAAUAUAAUGAAAACUAGUAAUUGUGAUAACAGUAACAUAUCAGUCAACAUUGAUGAUACAAAUUCUAUAAAAACUCAGGAUAGUGGUUAUUCCUCAUCAAAGAAUAUUUCAUCUAUUGUACAUACGCAUGAUGUAAAAUGCAAUAUAUGGAACGAUAUUGUUUCUAGUAACAUCAGUCAAGAUUCUGCUAUUAGUAUGAGUGAUCAUUGUUCUGAAGAAAAUAUUAAAUCUGGCAAUAUAUUUCAUCUCUUUGAGUUAAAUGAUUCUGAUGUAGACAUAACAAAAUCAUCUAAUUUCUCUACAUUUUCUAUGUCGAAUAAAUGUUCUAUUCCAGCAACAUCAACAAUGAUAAGCAACAAAAACAUUAAAUUCAAUAUUUCUGAAGAUUCUUUACUUAAUGACGAACAUUCUCUAUGUGAAAACGUAUCAAAUCUUGCAGCAAAUUCAAAUGAUUUAAAAAUGUCUACAUCUUAUGAAAAGAAUAAUGAACACAUAGUUUGUACAUCACCAACAAAUAAUAAUGCACUAUCUUUAAAAUAUCAUAAGAAUAUUCAUUACAUACGAAAUAAUACUUCAAAAGCUAAAAUAACUCCCAAACGAUAUAUAAAAUGGAGAAAAACUAAUUCUUGCACAUCUGUUCAUAAAAUGACAACACAUGAAAAAUAUAAAUUUGUGAAAACAAACUCGUACCCAAAUAUAUUAAAAUAUGGCCAGGAACAAUAUAACGAUACAUUUUUAUAUAAAUUAGAUGAGAGAAAGCAUUUGUCUAAAUCACACACAUCAAUUUUUUCGAAAAUAAGUCAUUUCAAUUUCUGUCCAACAUUUUUUGAUAAUGAACAAGACACUUUGACUAAUUCUCAUUAUUCUCCUCCUGAAAAAAACCUCUUUAAAAAAAAAUAUACAUCCUUGUCCAAAUCUCUUCCAAUAUCUACAAAGAUUUCAAACACUAAACAUAACUCAAGAAACACUUAUAAUUUUAAUGGAAAAAGUUGCGGUGUACAGUCUACAUCACAUGACAUAAAAACAAAAUGCACAGAUUUCAAGACUCAGAAGGAUAAAGCAUUCGUGGUAGUAGAUGAAGCCAAUGUAAAUGUACUACCAAAUCUGGCUUCAGUGUCAGCUUUCAUAGUCAAAACUGGAUGGUUUUGGGUAUCUGUACAGAAUGAGGCAGCAGCAGAUGAGAAAGAAUAUUUAUUUGAACAUUAUCUAGAAACAGCUUUAUCGCCUACUGCAUCUAAUAGGAGAAACAGUCAACAGAUAGUGGCAUCAAAUAUAACAUUAUCAAAGCAUCCGUGUUGGUUGGGUGGCCCAUUAGCUAAUAUAUUACAAAAUGGAGCGGACUCACCAGCUAGUGUCAGUGGAAGUUUUCUCGACUGCACGGCGAGUCCAGAUAAACAGUUGUUGGAUGGUAUUCCAGAGGUAGAAACUGUCGAUACAGAAAAUUUACCAAAUGUUAGAGAAAAUUUAUCAAAGCGUCAUCAAGUAUUUCUUGAAUUAGUAGAGACCGAAGCCAAUUAUGUUGGUAUUCUCAAUACAAUUAUGAUGCUAUUCAAAUUACCAUUGGAAAAUCUUGUAGGGAAAAGUGGAAAAGAAUUAUUAAAUAGCACAGAAGUAAAAAUUAUAUUUGGUAAUUUCCCACCCAUUUAUGACGUUCAUAAGCAGUUAUUGGAAGCCCUACGUUGCAGUGCCACUAAUUGGACAGAAGAUAUUAGUAUUGGCAAAAUAUUUUUGAAAUAUGAACUAGAUUUGGUUAAAGCAUAUCCUCCAUAUGUCAACUUCUUUGAAAACACAAAACAGAUGUUGGAAGAAUGCGAUCAAAACAAACCACGAUUUCAUGCUUUUUUGAAAAAUUGUCAGACAAUACCAGAAUGUGGUAGACAAAGCUUAAAAGAGCUGUUAAUUAAACCAAUACAAAGAUUACCCAGUAUUAAUCUAUUAUUAAGUGAUAUUCUUAAACAUACUGACAAAAGUAAUCCAGACUAUAGUGCUCUAGAAGCUUCCAUUAAUUGUAUUAAGAAAGUUAUGACAUAUAUAAACGAAGAUAAAAGGAAAACAGAACGCCAGUUAGCAAUGUUUGAUAUUUUCAAUGAAAUUGAUAAUUGUCCGCCGCAUUUAGUUUCUUCACAUAGAUCAUUUAUCAAUAAGUGUGAUGUAAUGGAAGUUACAGAAGGUCUUAGCGGACGGGGCGAUCAUUUAGUAUUGUUUCUAUUUACUGAUACUCUUGAAAUAUGUAAGAAAAGAUCAAAGGCUUUUAAUUCAUUAAAAAGUCCUAACACUAUAAAUGGUUUGCAAUCGAGUAAAUUAAAUCAAGGAAAACUAUAUAAGCAUAUCAAAAUGUUAUCACUCAGCACUAUACGAAAAGUUGUAGACAUACGAGAAACUGAAGGAUAUCACAAACUAUUUGCACUCGUAGUACGUGGCACUCAGGAAUUAAAGGAAAAAUUCUUUUCGUUUAUAAUUACUGACGAAGAAAUAAAUAAAACAAAUUAUUUACAGAUUUUAUGUAGACAAAUGGCUCUUGCUGUCCGUGUAGCUGAUGCUGAUACAUUACUUAUUAGAUACGAUUCGCAUCAACUCGAAGUCGGUACUGGUGAUGUAGCAUCAGGAACAUUAAAAAAAACAAUUAAUUUGAAGAAAAGUGUCAGAAGUUGUCUACAAAAGUUAUCUGGAAAGAUAUUUAUUUAAAAAACAUGGAAUAAAAGAAAAUAAUUAAACAAGAGGACAUUUACUUAAAACAUAAAAUCAAUGUGGUGAAACAAUCGCGUGAGAAAAAAAUUCGCUCGUGUGUGCUAAAAUUUACACCUGAAUAUUUUGAAUGAAAAGAUGAUUAUGACAAGUUAUUGCAUUUAUUUUUAUUUA
RNAcentral lists this unclassified non-coding RNA (2868 nucleotides) under Camponotus floridanus (Florida carpenter ant). Its description in RNAcentral is "protein ECT2, transcript variant X1". Lineage: Eukaryota; Metazoa; Arthropoda; Insecta; Hymenoptera; Formicidae. The record is from RNAcentral.